This 630-nucleotide ribosomal RNA is filed under the name Pseudomonas aeruginosa. RNAcentral describes it as "bacterial SSU rRNA". It matches the Rfam family "Bacterial small subunit ribosomal RNA", at positions 119 to 745 of the family's 1533-position model. Lineage: Bacteria; Pseudomonadati; Pseudomonadota; Gammaproteobacteria; Pseudomonadales; Pseudomonadaceae. The record is from RNAcentral.
AGGAAUCUGCCUGGUAGUGGGGGAUAACGUCCGGAAACGGGCGCUAAUACCGCAUACGUCCUGAGGGAGAAAGUGGGGGAUCUUCGGACCUCACGCUAUCAGAUGAGCCUAGGUCGGAUUAGCUAGUUGGUGGGGUAAAGGCCUACCAAGGCGACGAUCCGUAACUGGUCUGAGAGGAUGAUCAGUCACACUGGAACUGAGACACGGUCCAGACUCCUACGGGAGGCAGCAGUGGGGAAUAUUGGACAAUGGGCGAAAGCCUGAUCCAGCCAUGCCGCGUGUGUGAAGAAGGUCUUCGGAUUGUAAAGCACUUUAAGUUGGGAGGAAGGGCAGUAAGCUAAUACCUUGCUGUUUUGACGUUACCAACAGAAUAAGCACCGGCUAACUUCGUGCCAGCAGCCGCGGUAAUACGAAGGGUGCAAGCGUUAAUCGGAAUUACUGGGCGUAAAGCGCGCGUAGGUGGUUCAGCAAGUUGGAUGUGAAAUCCCCGGGCUCAACCUGGGAACUGCAUCCAAAACUACUGAGCUAGAGUACGGUAGAGGGUGGUGGAAUUUCCUGUGUAGCGGUGAAAUGCGUAGAUAUAGGAAGGAACACCAGUGGCGAAGGCGACCACCUGGACUGAUACUGACA